UGCUUCCUAAGCUGAGGGCGGGUUCCCUCCAGCUCGACGAACAGGAAUGGGCGGGAGCCGGCAGCGGGCUGAGCGAUGGCUGUGGGGCCUAAUAAAGUGAACUACUGAGAAGUAUUGAUGCAAUAG
Molecule: long non-coding RNA, 126 nt
Filed under: Phasianus colchicus (ring-necked pheasant)
Lineage: Eukaryota; Metazoa; Chordata; Aves; Galliformes; Phasianidae
Description: lncRNA (ENSPCLG00000004361.1)
Source: RNAcentral